UACGGGAGGCAGCAGUAGGGAAUCUUCCACAAUGGGCGCAAGCCUGAUGGAGCAACGCCGCGUGUGUGAUGAAGGGUUUCGGCUCGUAAAACACUGUUGUAAGAGAAGAAUGACUCUGAGAGUAACUGUU
RNAcentral lists this ribosomal RNA (130 nucleotides) under uncultured bacterium. Its description in RNAcentral is "partial 16S ribosomal RNA". It matches the Rfam family "Bacterial small subunit ribosomal RNA", at positions 340 to 477 of the family's 1533-position model. The record is from RNAcentral.